This 216-nucleotide ribosomal RNA is filed under the name Glomeromycotina sp. Its description in RNAcentral is "partial small subunit ribosomal RNA". The stretch from base 87 to 216 matches the Rfam family "Eukaryotic small subunit ribosomal RNA", at positions 733 to 864 of the family's 1831-position model. Lineage: Eukaryota; Fungi; Glomeromycota. The record is from RNAcentral.
GGGUCAGUAGGUUGGUCGUGCCACCGGUACGUACUGGUCUCACUGAUUCCUCCUUCCUGAAGAACCGUAAUGCCACUAAUUUGGUGUUGCGGGGAAACAGGACUGUUACUUUGAAAAAAUUAGAGCGUUUAAGGCAAGCUAACGCUUGAAUACAUUAGCAUGGAAUAAUGAAAUAGGACGAUCGAUCCUAUUUUGUUGGUUUCUAGGAUUGACGUA